UAAACAUGUAACGGCUAUGUAAAUGACUUUAAAGGGCAUUUGGAAUAGGUAAGUCUCACACAGCUGUGAGCCUGUUCUGUGUAAAGCCUGCAGGAGACAGAACUGCAUCAGGAGCCUGGGCUGCUUGUCAGGAAGGCAGGCAUCCCUGUGGAGAGAGGCCGCAGCCUGCAGUGCAGUCAGCUACCAAAUAAGGAGGCACCCGAGCUAUAAAUAGCUGUUAAGACAAGCUGAGGCGUGCCCUGACUUUAAGGUCAGCUCAGCUGUUAGCUGCUUGGCAGACAUGGGGGCAACAGCUAACUCUCGUCUCCUCCCUCCUCAAGCACCCCCUUGUUUUGCACAGGGCUCCAGCUCCUCCCUGCCUCCUGAAUCGGACAAUGUCACCAUCAACUGAAGGCCCUGGACCAGGCUUCCAGGUCAUCCAUCCUGGGAAAGGCCAAGACAACCAGUUUGCCAUUGAGAUGCCAGCUGGGGCCGUGUGCGAUGGCUCACAUCUGUAAUCCCAGCACUUUGGGAGGCCGAGGAAGGCGGAUCACCUGAGUUCAGGAGUUCCAGACCAGCCUGGUCAACAUGGUGAAACCCCGUUUCUACUAAAAAUACAAAAAAAUUAACCUGGCGUGGUGGCAUGCACCUGUAAUCCCAGCUACUCGGGAGGCUGAGGCAUGAGAAUCACUUUAACCCGGGAGGCAGAGGCUGCAGUGAGCUGAGAUCAUGCCACUGCACGCCAGCCUGGGUAACAGAGCAAGACUCCGUCUCAAAAAAAAAAAAAAAAGAGAGAGAUGCCAGUUGGCUGGGCUUGGCAUAACAUGAAAAGGGGAUGAUGACUUUUUUUUGAAGAUUAUUGCUUUUUCUCAGCAAUGUGCACAGUUUAAAUGGAAAGGGAUCAGGUUGUGCCAGCCCCAAGCAAUGCACUUUGGCAUAGGAUUAUUUUGAGCUGAAAGAAAUUGAGGAUCAACAGAUGGAAGAAGGUCUCUGCCCUCUUCUUAGCCAACCAAGAGCAGAGCAGAAACUUCCCUCGGUGGUAUGAAUUUCCCUUGUGAAGGUGCCUCCCUUCUUGUACCAGAAAGAGGAGAGCCGCUCUUAUCACCAGAGACAGAGAGCUGGCAGCAGGGUGAGUCUGCAUAAACAAGCCUGGUGAAAAUAACCCUUGUCUGCCAUUAGUUUCUCCUGUAUUCCUAGUCACUUUCCCACAAGUAGUCAAUCAACCCUUGAAGCCCAAACCCCCUUUCUUUUGUUAAAAUGGUAUAUAAGCCCCAGAGUCUAAGCGACCUUCUUUGAGUUUCAAUUUUCUGUGAACUCCUGUGCUCAUAAAUAUUAAUUAAAAAUUUAUGCUUUGGGGGCUUGGUGAAGUGGCUCAUGCCUGCUACCCCAGCACUUUGGGAGGCCAAGGCGGGUGGAUCAUUUGAGGUCAGGAG
This 1412-nucleotide long non-coding RNA is filed under the name Macaca mulatta (Rhesus monkey). Its description in RNAcentral is "lncRNA (ENSMMUG00000062613.1)". The record is from RNAcentral. Lineage: Eukaryota; Metazoa; Chordata; Mammalia; Primates; Cercopithecidae.